This 522-nucleotide ribosomal RNA is filed under the name uncultured bacterium. RNAcentral describes it as "bacterial SSU rRNA". It matches the Rfam family "Bacterial small subunit ribosomal RNA", at positions 224 to 743 of the family's 1533-position model. The record is from RNAcentral.
GAUGAGCAUGCGUCCCAUUAGCUAGUUGGUAAGGUAACGGCUUACCAAGGCUACGAUGGGUAGGGGUCCUGAGAGGGAGAUCCCCCACACUGGUACUGAGACACGGACCAGACUCCUACGGGAGGCAGCAGUGAGGAAUAUUGGACAAUGGGCGCAAGCCUGAUCCAGCCAUGCCGCGUGCAGGAUGACGGUCCUAUGGAUUGUAAACUGCUUUUAUACGGGAAGAAACACUCCGACGUGUCGGAGCUUGACGGUAUCGUAAGAAUAAGGAUCGGCUAACUCCGUGCCAGCAGCCGCGGUAAUACGGAGGAUCCAAGCGUUAUCCGGAAUCAUUGGGUUUAAAGGGUCCGUAGGCGGUUUGGUAAGUCAGUGGUGAAAGCCCAUCGCUCAACGGUGGAACGGCCAUUGAUACUGCCAGACUUGAAUUAUUAGGAAGUAACUAGAAUAUGUAGUGUAGCGGUGAAAUGCUUAGAGAUUACAUGGAAUACCNAUUGCGAAAGGCAGGUACUACUAAUUGAUUGA